RNAcentral lists this ribosomal RNA (492 nucleotides) under uncultured bacterium. RNAcentral's name for it is "partial 16S ribosomal RNA". It matches the Rfam family "Bacterial small subunit ribosomal RNA", at positions 29 to 507 of the family's 1533-position model. The record is from RNAcentral.
AGUGAACGCUGGCGGUAGGCCUAACACAUGCAAGUCGAACGGCAGCACAGUAAGAGCUUGCUCUUACGGGUGGCGAGUGGCGGACGGGUGAGGAAUACAUCGGAAUCUACUUUUUCGUAGGGGAUAACGUAGGGACACUUACGCUAAUACCGCAUACGACCUACGGGUGAAAGCAGGGGAUCUUCGGACCUUGCGCGAUUGAAUGAGCCGAUGUCGGAUUAGCUAGUUGGCGGGGUAAAGGCCCACCAAGGCGACGAUCCGUAGCUGGUCUGAGAGGAUGAUCAGUCACACUGGAACUGAGACACGGUCCAGACUCCUACGGGAGGCAGCAGUGGGGAAUAUUGGACAAUGGGCGCAAGCCUGAUCCAGCCAUGCCGCGUGGGUGAAGAAGGCCUUCGGAUUGUAAAGCCCUUUUAUUUGGGAAGAAAAGCAGCAGGUUAAUACCCCGCUGUUCUGACGGUACCCAAAGAAUAAGCACCGGCUAACUUCGUG